This 31-nucleotide non-coding RNA is filed under the name Mus musculus (house mouse). Lineage: Eukaryota; Metazoa; Chordata; Mammalia; Rodentia; Muridae. The record is from RNAcentral.
UUGCACUGGAUAUCGAAUCAAACGGGAAGAG